RNAcentral lists this non-coding RNA (23 nucleotides) under Drosophila melanogaster (fruit fly). The record is from RNAcentral. RNAcentral also lists the same sequence under 2 other names. Lineage: Eukaryota; Metazoa; Arthropoda; Insecta; Diptera; Drosophilidae.
UUUUACUAAAGAUUUCCGUGGAG